GCCUGUCUGGUUCAGUUGGAAGAACAUGUGACUCUUGAUCUUGGGGUUGUGAGUUUGAGUCCCAUGUUGGGUG
Molecule: transfer RNA, 73 nt
Organism: Felis catus (domestic cat)
Lineage: Eukaryota; Metazoa; Chordata; Mammalia; Carnivora; Felidae
Rfam family: tRNA
About the family: Transfer RNA (tRNA) molecules are approximately 80 nucleotides in length. Their secondary structure includes four short double-helical elements and three loops (D, anti-codon, and T loops).
Source: Rfam